Molecule: ribosomal RNA, 415 nt
Filed under: uncultured Basidiomycota
Lineage: Eukaryota; Fungi; Basidiomycota
Description: eukaryotic LSU rRNA
Rfam family: 5.8S ribosomal RNA (bases 84-237)
Source: RNAcentral
CAUUACAAACCCCAUGUGCACUCUGGCUUUACCUUUACACGCUUUUGAAGUCAUUGGAAUGGCCUUAUUUGAAAACUAAAUACAACUUUCAACAACGGAUCUCUUGGCUCUCGCAUCGAUGAAGAACGCGGCGAAAUGCGAUAAGUAAUGUGAAUUGCAGAAUCCAGUGAAUCAUCGAGUCUUUGAAUGCACCUUGCGCCCCUUGGUAUUCCGAGGGGCAUGCCCGUUUGAGUGUCGUGGUAUCCUCAACCUCUUGGUUGGACUUGGGCGCUGCAGGCUUGUCCUGGCUCGCCUCAAAUGAAUUAGCUGCGCUGGGUUUGGCUGGGAUGUGAUAGUUCUUACGUCUCGCCCUGCUUUGCUGUUGGCUUUGACCCCCUCCACUUGACCUUUGACCUCAAAUCGGGUAAGACUACCC